RNAcentral lists this ribosomal RNA (253 nucleotides) under uncultured bacterium. RNAcentral describes it as "partial 16S ribosomal RNA". It matches the Rfam family "Bacterial small subunit ribosomal RNA", at positions 524 to 776 of the family's 1533-position model. The record is from RNAcentral.
UACGGGGGGGGCAAGCGUUGUCCGGAAUUACUGGGCGUAAAGGGCUUGUAGGUGGCCAACUAAGUCAGACGUGAAAUCCCUCGGCUUAACCGGGGAACUGCGUCUGAUACUGGAUGGCUUGAGUGUGGGAGAGGGAUGCGGAAUUCCAGGUGUAGCGGUGAAAUGCGUAGAUAUCUGGAGGAACACCGGUGGCGAAGGCGGCAUCCUGGACCAUUACUGACACUGAAAAGCGAAAGCCAGGGGAGCAAACGGG